ACACUUUGAUGUGCUUUCUCAUCUGAUUGCUCAUGCAGCUGAGGACAUGCAAGGAAAGACUGAGGAGGAAAUCGAGAUGAUGAAACUGAUGGGCUUUGGAGCCUUUGACAGCACAAAGGGCAAGAAGAAGGAGGGAUCCAAUGCUGCGUUUGCAUUUAACGUGUCGCAAAAGAGAAAAUACAGGCAAUACAUGAACAGGAAAGGUGGUUUCAACAGACCUUUGGAUUUCAUUGCCUGAUGGAGUCGUCAGUAACCACGUUUUAACGACUUUGAUGUCUUUGUGAUUAAACGUAUAUUCUCUUUUCUUCCCCGAGUUUAUGUAUAUCUGUGUUUCAGCAGUUUUUCCAUCUGUUUUGUUUUUCAGUUAAUGGCUGUAAUGUACGCGUCAGUUUAGUUUGUAGGAGCAAAUAUUAAAAAGGAUUUGAUGUUGCGAAUUGAUUGCCUUGUAUACCUUAUUUGGCAGUACUGAAUAAAUGGGAACUCCUAAUGAAUA
Long non-coding RNA from Sinocyclocheilus grahami, 493 nucleotides. RefSeq lists it as uncharacterized. Lineage: Eukaryota; Metazoa; Chordata; Actinopteri; Cypriniformes; Cyprinidae. The transcript has 3 exons. The record is from RefSeq and is a predicted model, not a curated record.